CAGGCUUGAGUCUUGUAGAGGGGGGUAGAAUUCCAGGUGUAGCGGUGAAAUGCGUAGAGAUCUGGAGGAAUACCGGUGGCGAAGGCGGCCCCCUGGACAAAGACUGACGCUCAGGUGCGAAAGCGUGGGGAGCAAACAGGAUUAGAUACCCUGGUAGUCCACGCCGUAAACGAUGUCUACUUGGAGGUUGUGCCCUUGAGGCGUGGCUUCCGGAGCUAACGCGUUAAGUAGACCGCCUGGGGAGUACGGCCGCAAGGUUAAAACUCAAAUGAAUUGACGGGGGCCCGCACAAGCGGUGGAGCAUGUGGUUUAAUUCGAUGCAACGCGAAGAACCUUAC
RNAcentral lists this ribosomal RNA (338 nucleotides) under Salmonella enterica. RNAcentral's name for it is "bacterial SSU rRNA". It matches the Rfam family "Bacterial small subunit ribosomal RNA", at positions 637 to 974 of the family's 1533-position model. The record is from RNAcentral. Lineage: Bacteria; Pseudomonadati; Pseudomonadota; Gammaproteobacteria; Enterobacterales; Enterobacteriaceae.